CCUACGGGUGGCAGCAGUGGGGAAUAUUGGGCAAUGGAGGCAACUCUGACCCAGCAAUGCCGCGUGAGUGAUGACGGUAAUUUUAUUGUAAAGCUCUUUUCUUUCGAACGAAUAAAUGACGGUACCAAAGGAAUAAGCACCGGCUAACUACGUGCCAGCAGCCGCGGUCAUACGGAGGGGGCAAGCGUUGCUCGGAAUGACUGGGGGUAAAGGGUGUGUAGGUGGUUUGUUAAGUUAAGUGUGUAAUACCCAGGGCUUAACUCGGGUGCUGCAUCUAAAACUGUUAGACUUGAGUACUGGUGAGGAUAGUGGAAUUUCUAGUGUAGCGGUGGAAUGCGUAGAUAUUAGGAGGAACAUCAGUUGCGAAGGCGACUAUCUGAACAGCAUCUGACACUGAGGCACGAAAGCGUGGGGAGCAAACAGGAUUAGAUACCCCAGUAGUC
Molecule: ribosomal RNA, 443 nt
Filed under: uncultured bacterium
Lineage: Bacteria
Description: partial 16S ribosomal RNA
Rfam family: Bacterial small subunit ribosomal RNA
Source: RNAcentral